GAUGAACGCUAGCGGCAGGCUUAAUACAUGCAAGUCGAGGGGCAGCACAGAUAGCAAUAUUGGGUGGCGACCGGCAAACGGGUGCGGAACACGUACACAACCUUCCUUUUAGUGUUGGAUAGCCCAGAGAAAUUGGGAUUAAUACCACAUAGUCUAUUUGAGUGGCAUCACUUUGAUAUUAAAGAUUUAUCGCUAAAAGAUGGGUGUGCGUAUGAUUAGGUAGUUGGUAGAGGUAACGGCUCACCAAGCCUUCGAUCAUUAACUGGUGUGAGAGCACGACCAGUCACACGGGCACUGAGACACGGGCCCGACUCCUACGGGAGGCAGCAGUAAGGAAUAUUGGUCAAUGGACGGAAGUCUGAACCAGCCAUGCCGCGUGAAGGAUGACGGCCCUCUGGGUUGUAAACUUCUUUUAUGUGGGACGAAAAAGGGCCAUUUUUGGUCAACUGACGGUACCAUAGGAAUAAGCACCGGCUAACUCCGUGCCAGCAGCCGCAGUAA
RNAcentral lists this ribosomal RNA (501 nucleotides) under uncultured bacterium. RNAcentral's name for it is "partial 16S ribosomal RNA". It matches the Rfam family "Bacterial small subunit ribosomal RNA", at positions 28 to 523 of the family's 1533-position model. The record is from RNAcentral.